GUUAAGGUCAUUUUUCAAUUUCUAGAUAUAAUAUUUUGACUCAACGUCUUAUUUAAAAUAUUUUUGUGAUUAAUAAUUUUAUUGUCACUGGAUGAUAAAACAUAAAUAGUACUUUAUGCGUGACUAGUUUUUUUUAAGUUUUUACAAAGAUUUUAAAUAAGAUGAAUAGUCAAAGCGUUGAACAUAGAAAUCGAAAAAUAAAGUUAUU
Molecule: microRNA precursor, 208 nt
Filed under: Oryza brachyantha (malo sina)
Lineage: Eukaryota; Viridiplantae; Streptophyta; Magnoliopsida; Poales; Poaceae
Description: MIR812 microRNA precursor family
Rfam family: MIR812 microRNA precursor family
Source: Rfam by way of RNAcentral